UUUUUGGGCUUGGUAAUUGGAAUGAGGGAGAGUUAAACGGACCAUCGAGUAUCCAUUGGAGGGCAAGUCUGGUGCCAGCAGCUGCGGUAAUACCAGCUCCAAUAGCGUAUAUUAAAGUUGUUGCAGUUAAAAAGCUCGUAGUUGGACUUGUGUGCGCUGUCCGCGGGUGGCCUGCGCCCAAAAGGGCGUUUCGGUUCGGCCCCGGUGGCGCCUUGAAAUCUGCAGCUGGGGGGACGUUGGCCUUAACUGGUCGGCGACCGCACGCCGGCUGCUCGGUUACUGUGAGAAAAUUAGAGUGUUCAAGGCAGGCAUUGGGUGCAAUUGAAUACAUUAGCAUGGAAUAAUAAAAUAUGGCUCCUGCCGUAUUUUGUUGGUUUUGACUGGUGGGAGUAAUGAUUGAUAGGGUCGGUUGGGGGUGCUAGUAUUGAGCGGCCAGAGGUGAAAUUCAUGGAUUCGCUCAAGACUAACUUAUGCGAAAGCAUUCACCAAGGACGUCCUCUUUAAUCAAGAACGAAAGUUGGGGGAUCGAAGACGAUCAGAUACCGUCGUAGUCUCAACCAUAAACUAUGUCGACUUGGGAUCGGCGGUAGUUUUUUCAUUAAGACACUGCGGGACCACGGGAGAAAUCAAAGUGUCUGGACUCUGGGGGAAGUAUGGUCGCAAGGCUGAAACUUGAAGGAAUUGACGGAAGGGCACCACCAGGAGUGGAGCCUGCGGCUUAAUUUGACCCAACACGGGGAAACUUACCAGGUCCAGAGAUGUAGAGGAUUGACAGAUUGAAGCUCUUUCUUGAUCACUUCGGUGGUGGUGCAUGGCCGUUCUUAGUUGGUGGAGUGAUUUGUCUGGUUAAUUCCGUUAACGAACGAGACCUCAGCCUGCUAGUGUAGUCGGCUGGAUUGCCUUUGGCGAUCCGUGAUUUCGACUUCUUAGAGGGACAAUCGACGCGCAGUCGAUGGAAGUUUGAGGCAAUAACAGGUCUGUGAUGCCCUUAGAUGUUCUGGGCCGCACGCGCGCUACACUGCUGGGCUCAGCGAGUUUUACUUGGCCGAGAGGCCCGGUUAAUCUUGUGAAAUCCCAGCGUGCUUGGGCUCGCCUCCUGCAACUGGAGGCGCCAACGAGGAAUUCCUAGUAGACGCAGGUCAUCAACCUGCAUCGAUUACGUCCCUGCCCUUUGUACACACCGCCCGUCGUUCCAUAAGAGUGAGGCAUCCGGUGAAUUCUCGGGAGAGCCUGGGCGUGGCCAGCAAUGGUCUGCUCGGGUUUGAACUUGCAUAAACUUGGUGCCUAUGAUUAGGG
RNAcentral lists this ribosomal RNA (1296 nucleotides) under metagenome. RNAcentral describes it as "SSU rRNA". It matches the Rfam family "Eukaryotic small subunit ribosomal RNA", at positions 493 to 1783 of the family's 1831-position model. The record is from RNAcentral.